This is a long non-coding RNA of Brienomyrus brachyistius, 249 nucleotides long. RefSeq lists it as uncharacterized. The record is from RefSeq and is a predicted model, not a curated record. The transcript is spliced from 3 exons. Lineage: Eukaryota; Metazoa; Chordata; Actinopteri; Osteoglossiformes; Mormyridae.
UGAGUUUGUCAGGGAGAGGGAGAAGACAAAGCUCUUCUUUCGGGAGCUGACUGAGGGUGGUCUCUCCAGGCAGACUCAGGUGAACUACAUGAAGAGCCUGAAGAGGUUGAUAGCAUGUAUAUUUUAGGUACACCUUGCUAGUACCUGGUUGGACCCCCUUUUGUCUUCAGAACUGCCUUAAUCCUUCGUGGCAUAGAUUCAACAAGGUGCUCUAUUGGACUGAGAUCUGGUGACUGUGGAGGCCAUUUG